ACAAGUAAUAAAUCUUAGGCUGUAAGAUUUUAGAGGAAUUUAAAUGUACAGGUAAAAAAAUCUUUGAAAAAAUAUGACAUGAUAUCAUCUUGUCUAUUUCAAAAGGAUUUUUGUUUAGACUUAAAUGGUCCAAGAUAUUUUCAGUGAAUUUCUGAAAUACUUAAACAGUGUUUUUUUUUACCCAAAGUGACCAGAAGAGUUCAGAAGCACCUCUUCAUUCUAUUUAUGUAUAGUUUCAUUGGAAAUGUUUAAAAUAGAAAAAUAUUUCUGUGUGAGAGAGCAUGUUCAUGUGUGCCACUGAAGAGAAGAGGUGGGACUUCUUCUCUAUGAAACGUUGGGUCUGAAGAGGUCACUUGAUACAAACUGGAAGGAAUAAAAGCCCUAAGGGUAUGUUGAAUGAAGUCCUGCCCGCAUGCUGUCCUGUGAUAUGACUGUCAAUGAAUGGUGACAUAUCUCCUGUCACUUGAGAAUGUGAAAAUCAGGGCCAAGCAGAAGUAGGUUUGCCAAAAUUAAAGCUUUUAAUAAAAUGUCUGUAAGGUGAACUUAGAUGUUAGAUGUUAGUUUGUAAAUGUCUUUGUGGCUCUGUUGUUUCACUGAAUUAUCUAUUUUGCCAAAAAACAAACAAACAACAACAACAAAACCACUCCAUUUGCUACAGUCACUGUGUUCUUUAGAGGAACUUGUAAGAGUGGUGUGACCAAGAGUCAGUGCUUGUUCUAGCUGUCUGCUCUUGGUAAAUCUCAGACUAAGGAAUUGUGAAAUGGUUCAUAACUUGAAGCUAGUGAGAGUUACUGGAUGGGAACUGAACAGCAAGGAUUUCCCAGAUUUCACAGGCGUGGGGCUUUCUGACUUAGAAACGCUGAAUUAUUUCACUUAAGUUGCUGAAAGUAUCUCCACUGUUUCUGGAAUAUUGAGUUACACAAUACCAGUGCUGUCACUGUGUGUAGCCCGUUCUGCUGCAGCCUUGCUAACAUUCCUGGGGCAUGAGUGGAUGGCUACCGAGCAGGAGGUAUGCUCAGCAUCACAGCGGGCAGAGGCAGCUGAUUUAACAGCAUCUCGGUUAUUAAAUCUACUCCUACAGGGUCACCAAAACCAACCUGUAGGAAAUAACAAGUCUCAGCUCGCUACGUGCAAAGGCAGCUCUUGCCUACUGCAGCCAACAGGAGCAUUUGGGGCUUUGGAUUAAUUAUAAAGCACUGUUAUUAAACUUCUAAUGAAAUGAUUCAGAAGAGAUUGACAUAGGAACUGUUGGUCUUUAAAGUUCUUAUUCUAUUUCAGAACACAGUCAACAUCUUUAUUAACACAGUCCUGUGUUUGCUCUCAGGCAAAAUGAGAUGAACUGAGCACCUGUGCAAACCGGAGCAGUGAUUGCAACAGCAUGCAGUUAUACGAUGUGUACCUGGCGCUGUACUGCACGGAUGUCAGCCUUAAAAUACCAACACCAAGGUCCUAAUUAAAACAUGCACGUUGUUUGGCAACCAGUAGCAUUUGAAAUCAAGGAUUCACAGGAUCAGGCUUUUCUCUCAGAUCUUGUCUCCUCUGCAUUCCAAGUGAACUGAUUGAUUACUUUUGGAUGAGAUUUGGACAUUGAUUGAAAGAGCAGAAGAAGAAGCAGAAGAAGAGUAGUAUCACCUUCUGAGGAAUGCACUAAAUGUGUACUCCAUGCUUUAACAACAAUGAUGCCAACCUAAAAUUGAUGAGCAGAUCUAUGAAGAAAAGCCUAGAAAAGAAUAGCACAGGGAACGCAGGUACCAAAACAUCUGUGCAUGUAUCUAUUUGCGGGUUGGUUAUGUAUUUCCAUAAAGCAAAACUUACUUUAAAAUAUUCUGCAACAGGAAGAAACCAUUUUGGAUCUUUAUCACUUAAGGACAUAAUCACUUCUUUUUCCUAUAUCCUUUCUCUGUUUUUUACCCUCAGUAUUUGUUUUGGAAUCAUUUUUUCUUCUUCUCUUUCUCUUCUCCUGGAAAAUUAUUACAGGAAUAACCAGAAACAAGCAAUAAUUAUAGUAACACAUUACAAAAUAAG
RNAcentral lists this long non-coding RNA (2025 nucleotides) under Gallus gallus (chicken). RNAcentral's name for it is "lncRNA (ENSGALG00010026852.1)". The record is from RNAcentral. Lineage: Eukaryota; Metazoa; Chordata; Aves; Galliformes; Phasianidae.